This 399-nucleotide long non-coding RNA is filed under the name Vombatus ursinus (common wombat). RNAcentral's name for it is "lncRNA (ENSVURG00010022271.1)". Lineage: Eukaryota; Metazoa; Chordata; Mammalia; Diprotodontia; Vombatidae. The record is from RNAcentral.
UGCCCGUUUCAAAGGGACAGCUCUACCUUUCACUGGGAUAUACCACUGAGGAGGGGGAGGUGUCAAAGCUGUGCAGCUAUGCCAUUUGGUGAGAUGCCAGUCCCCUGAAAGGGGUCCCAAAGCCAAAUCUAAUUCAACCUUUUUUCCCUCCCUAACCCCUCAGCAGGAAAAGCAAUCAGCCUUGGGGAUUUCUAUAUACCUCUCUCCUAAAAAGCAGUCUUACAUGGAAACUUGAGGCUUACCCUGCAUCAUCCAGACUUGGACUCUUACUGCCCACUGGUUCCAUUCACUGCUUUCUCAGAAGUGCUGCCCCUAGGGCUUAGGGACAGAAAGAAGUGUCGAGUGGAACAGGGAGUGCGUAUAGUGGGAACAGAAGAAUUGGAAGGCACCAUGAACUAA